RNAcentral lists this ribosomal RNA (216 nucleotides) under Glomeromycotina sp. RNAcentral's name for it is "partial small subunit ribosomal RNA". The stretch from base 40 to 216 matches the Rfam family "Eukaryotic small subunit ribosomal RNA", at positions 686 to 864 of the family's 1831-position model. The record is from RNAcentral. Lineage: Eukaryota; Fungi; Glomeromycota.
GGGUCAGUAGGUUGGUCGUGCCACCGGUACGUACUGGUCUCACUGAUUCCUCCUUCCUGAAGAACCGUAAUGCCAUUAAUUUGGUGUUGCGGGGAAACAGGACUGUUACUUUGAAAAAAUUAGAGUGUUUAAAGCAAGCUAGCGCUUGAAUACAUUAGCAUGGAAUAAUGAAAUAGGACGAUCGAUCCUAUUUUGUUGGUUUCUAGGAUUGACGUA